Molecule: long non-coding RNA, 205 nt
Organism: Mastomys coucha (southern multimammate mouse)
Lineage: Eukaryota; Metazoa; Chordata; Mammalia; Rodentia; Muridae
Exons: 3
Source: RefSeq, a predicted model, not a curated record
CUCUGGGACAGGAAUGGGGUCCCCUCCCCCAUUGCAAGCUCUUGACUCACAACUUAAUCUGACGGAGAUGUUUAGUGUUGGGAUAAGUUCACAGAGAAGGAAACUGAGGCACUGCGAGGCUACAGAAUUCUCCCAAGGAACCACAAUUAAGAGCAGACUCUCCAGUGCUCCUGGCGCUCAUCAUCAACUGACUCUUCAACCUGGA